UACGGGGGGGGCAAGCGUUGUUCGGAAUUAUUGGGCGUAAAGGGUUCGUAGGCGGUCGACUCAGUCAGACGUGAAAUCCCUCGGCUUAACCGGGGAACUGCGUCUGAUACUGGUCGGCUUGAGUGCAGGAGAGGAAUGCGGAAUUCCAGGUGUAGCGGUGAAAUGCGUAGAUAUCUGGAGGAACACCGGUGGCGAAGGCGGCAUUCUGGACUGUAACUGACGCUGAGGAACGAAAGCCAGGGGAGCAAACGGG
This 253-nucleotide ribosomal RNA is filed under the name uncultured bacterium. RNAcentral's name for it is "partial 16S ribosomal RNA". It matches the Rfam family "Bacterial small subunit ribosomal RNA", at positions 524 to 776 of the family's 1533-position model. RNAcentral also lists the same sequence under 1 other name. The record is from RNAcentral.